AAACUCGUGUUGUCAGCUGACUCGUACAGAAAAGUCAUUAUGAGACUUUUUUCUUCCUUUUUUCCUGAUUUAUUUCUUUAUUUUUCAGACCAUUGCUCUCCUAGGUCAUGAAUGAUGAUAUGUGUUUCAACAUCUUUUGUGGGGAAGCAGGGCAACAACUCUGAAUGCAGUAACUUGAUGUCUACGUAAUCCUAAGUAUGCAGCUCAUCAUCCUGCCCAUGUAAAAACAGCAAUGCAAGUAAUCCCUGAUAGAGUGCUCUCUGCUUCUCCCUUUUCCACUAAGAAACAUCUUAUGAACCAUGUUCAUCGAAUCUCUAAAAUUAACUGCUGCUUUCCUGCCUCUUCUGCUGAUGACAAACUCCAUUCUCCAGUGGAAAAGGAAUGGGCUGGAUGACCAUAUUUCAGUUACUUUGUAACAAUACAUUUGACUCCCUUCUGCAUCAAGAAGUGAAGCCUAUAUUUCUCCCAUGAAGGCUUGAACUACUAACUGUGGCAUCAGUAUCCAGAGGAACAUAUGCAAACAAGAUACAGUAGUCUCCUGCCUACAGUACUGUCAUAUUUCAUUUGGAAAAUUAUAUGAGGAGAUUUCAUACAGUCCUUGCAUUCCCUUAUAUGUGAAUUUCAUGCCAGAAUGCUCCCAUUAUACAUCAAAUGAAAGACAUCUACAAGAGUUAAUGUGCGUAUUUAUACUCAACAUCUCAACAUUGUUUAAUAUGAAGAACCCAAAAGUUUCUUGGAUGGAGGCAGACAGUACAGGCUGUUGUGUAGACUUGGACCAGAUCAUCUGGCUCCAGCAGGAAUCAGUAUGUUGAAAGGAUUGUGCUGCCUUUUUAUAUAUACAAAUGAUACCUUUGCGUACCAUUGUCUGUUUCUCUCCAAAAACUAAGGAAAUAAGUAACUUAGAUACAGGGUCUGAUCCUUCUUUCUGGACUGUAAUUGAUAAGGUGCUGGGCCCAAAGACCAAUUUUAUGAAAAUAAAGUAUUUAAAAGUAUUUAA
Molecule: long non-coding RNA, 997 nt
Organism: Gallus gallus (chicken)
Lineage: Eukaryota; Metazoa; Chordata; Aves; Galliformes; Phasianidae
Exons: 3
Source: RefSeq, a predicted model, not a curated record